GGUAAGGGGACAUAUCUACCAAGUGGGUCAAUGAAGUGACAGAUGCUAAAACUACAUUUUGAUUGUAGAUAAUAUGCACUUGAUGACUGAUUGUGUUAUUAACAUCUCAAAUCAAUUUGGUCAUGUCUUUCCUGAAAAUGGUUUUCAUAUUUUCCUCACUGUAUGCUGGCUUUUCCCUUGAUAAUGGUUAUCAAGUCCAUUCAGAAAAGAUGCCAAAGUCUUCUCAAUAAGCAUAGAAAGUGAGAGCUUCCUUCUUAAGGCUUCAUUAACAGCUUCCUAUUUAAAGGAAAAACAGUAUUGGCAUGUAAAUGAACUUUGCUCUGGCAGGUUUUGACUUCCAAGGUUCCUUGAGUACAGCCAAUCCAUCAAUGAGGAAGAGGCCCUCAGGAAGUCAGGCUGAAAGGUAGCACAGUGUUCCCUCCUGGGAGGGAACUAAAAAAAGAGGUAAAGUUUUUCCUUCUAAUUUAAUUAAAGUGAAAUCUUUUAUUAAACUAUCAUAGCUCCAUAAUAUUUUUAGAAGAGAAAUCUUGGCUAUGUUCAUGAAUCACUCUUGCACAGAGGAAAAUUAAAGAAGAUGAAAUUAAAUGAUAAUAGUUGAAUACUUAAUAGAAGUUAGCAGGCCAUGCAGUAGUUCUGAAAAAAUAAAUUUAAAUAAACUUUUCUUUUUUGGAGCAAUUUUAGAUUUAAAGAGAAUUGCAGAGAUAAUAGAAAGUUCUCAUAUACUGCGCGAUUGAUUUUUCCCAAUUAUUAUCAUCUCUCAUUAGCCAUUAAUAAACUGAGUCAAUAAAUAUGCUGUUAUUUCCUAAAGAUACUUUCCUUGCUUUUCCUGCAGUGUUCUCUUUUUGGUCACAGGAUCCCACCCAGGAUGCUACUUUACAUUUAGCCAUGCUGUCUCCUUGGAUCCUCUUGCUGGGGACAGUUUCUCAGGUUUUCCUUGCUUUGGAUGGCCUUGGCAGUUUUUGGGAAGUACCAGUAGGGGAUUUUGUAGAAUGUCCCUCAUUAGGGAUUUGUCUGAUAUUUUUCUUACGAUUAGUCGAGGAAAGGGGAUUUGGGGAGAAGGGCUCAGAGGCAAAGUGCCAUUUUCAUAAUACGUUGGCAUCUCUCUCUAUCUGAUGUAUCUUUGUUGCUAUUGACCUUGGUCUCCUGGCAGAGGUGAUGCUUGUCAGGUUUCUCUACUGCACGGUUUCUCUCUCUCUCCUGCACUCCUGGGAAGUAAGUCCCAAGCACUGCUGACCUGGGGGACUCAGGAUUAUGGUCACAUCCUGAGGGCAGUGUCUACAUAAAUGACUUUUUAUUCUUCUGCCCUGGAGAGUUGUCUUUUCUCUCUCUUUUAAUCAAUGUGGAUUCAAGGAUGUUUAUUUUAUUUAUACUUUGGAUUAAAGUCUAAUAUUUCUUUAUUUUAUUUUAUUUGCUCUCAUUGUUCCAGCUUAAGCCAUUGGGAGCUUUUUCAGCUGGCUACUGUCUUGUGACAUACCCCAUUAAUGCAGGUUUUUAUUUUUGUUUUGUUGCUUUGGGAUUCUUCCUUACUUGCUGCCAGUACAAAUGUUUCAGGCUCCUCUUGUGCAUGUUGUGCCCUCAUCCUAGAAUCAGCCAUUUCUCUAAGGAACCAUGCAUGGUUCCUUUUAUUGGAGAAUGAAACCAACAUCUGAGCACUAGAUGUGGUCUUGAAUUUUCUGUGAGCAACAUUUAUCCAUUGCCAAUAAAUUGAGUUAUGAAUUCAUGAUGUCAAGUUAUAAACGUUAAAGGCAGAUGAAAUGGUUACUUUGUGAGAUAGCAAUGGAAAACAGUUUUUUGAAUGCAAAGCAUUAAACAUUCUUCCUUCACUUUUAUUGCCAUGGAGACCAUUGUCAUGAUACUCUUUGUUCCAUGACCAUCAGUCAAAUGAUUUAGAAAGCAGAUGUUAUGUACCUUUACUUUUUAGCAUUUCUUUCUUCAGUUUAUACCUUAAUGGCUAAUACUGAAACAUAAUUAUCUCUCUAGAGAUUUAUAGAAGAUUAGAGACAUUCAGUUAGAAAAUGCUCAUUUUCAACAAAUAGACUCUGUUAAAGCAGACCUGACUUCUCUUCCACACCUCAGCCAUUUACUCCUGUAGUUUCCUUCUGGACCUUGUCAUGACCCACUUCCUCUUGGACCUUGUCAUGAACCAUAACUGCAUCAUGUCCCAGAUCAUGGAUUCAGAUGCCCAGCUCUAAGUGAGAACUCUUAUCUCUUUAGUCAUAUAAUUUCCACCACAGCAGUUUAUCUUUAUCUCAUUGGCCACACCACCCUUCACUGUCAUCACUCUUCUGAAGUUCCUAAUCCCCUUCUUCAUUUGUACAGUUCCUUCCACUACCAUUGCCUGGCAGGAUGUCAGCAUCGGUUGAGAACCAGCAUUUGCAUAAUAUGUAACUCAAGAACCUAAGGCCUUUGAAAAAUACACACACAUGUGCACAUACACAUACAUAGUUUUGAAGAUCAUAUAGUUGUAAUUAUAUUAACAUUAGAGUAUAAGAAAGAAAAGAAACUCACUUGAUUAAUAAGAUGCUUUUUAUAUGAAGAGGAAAAAUUCAUGUUUUUAAGCCACGGAUGAAAAAAUGCAUUGCUUUAAACAGUUGUCAUGAUGCCUCAUAUCUAAAUAUUUGAAUCUUCUGCUUGUUUCAUGUUUUCCCCCACAUGCCCCUGCUCCAGUUUCCUCCAUAGAAACCCAAUGAUUAAUUCAUUCAACACAAUAAAGGCACAUUUAAGACAAGAUAUAACAAAAUGUUAUCUUGAAACCCCACAUUUAAAAUUCCGAAGAGAAAUUACUUGUAUGCCAAAUAAAAACUACCAUAUAAAUAGAUUUUUAGGGAUGUUUCUUGGAUGGAAUCUAGAAGAAUAAGAAGGAAACAUCUGGGGGGAUGAAUUAGGACAACAGAGCAAAUCUGAAGUGUUGUAUCAAUGAUUCAAAUCUGUAAACUCAGCUUCUACCUCAUGGCAGAAAGCCAGAAUACAAGUCAGAGGCAGGAAGCUGCCUUAGGUUUUAACUGUAAGAAGCAACACUUCCCUCUUUUCAUUGGCAUUUAGAGUUAACAGAUCAUGUAGAGAGAGAAACUAGUGCACCACUUGAUAUCUUCCACACACAAGGCAAGGUUUAAGCAACUCCCUGAUUUUUCAGGGAUUUUAAUUGAGACGCCAGGGGGUGUAGACCACCCCUUCCCCACCAGCUCCCAAAGGCCAGUUGCUUAGGCUGGAGUGAGAGAUGCAGGCCUGGGUAAGGAAAAUUUUCUUUUCUUCCUCCCCAGGCCCUAGUUAGACAGAAUUAAGAAUUUUAAAAGAAAACUAAAAGGAGAAAAAUAUGAAAAAAAAACCUGAUGUAUGAUUUUUAUUAUCUUGGCAUUGCAGUUAACCGUGCAAUUUUCAAGAGUUGGGCAUAAUCCUAAGUGUAUUUGCACUUAUAGCUUUUCUUUAGGGAAAUCAAAUUAAAGUCCAGACUACUUAUGGGGCAAAUCAUUAACAAUAUCCAUUUCUUUGUAUCUAGCUACAAGGCACAAAAUAUUUAUUUUGGGCAAAAAUCACAAAAUUAAAAAUAAACAGUAAUAUUUUGUGUAUAUGUUCAUUUUCUUUCUAGAACCACUAAAAAUAUUUGAGCUCUUCUCUUAACUCACCAUAGCCUAGCCCCUGAUUAAAUGGCAAAUCUCCUCACUAUUGAAAGAGAUUAUAUGUAAUAAAGUAUCAUCCAAGUUCUGUUAGUGCAUUGGUACUUUCAGGUAUAACAUUUUUAAAUCUUCUUGCUUGUAUUUUGAGUGUCUUGAUUGUUUCCAUAUUUAGUAAUUAUUUUAUCCAGUAAUAUUCCAUUAUACUGCAUUAUGAUCCUGAUUGUUUUUUUAAGCUGAGAGAAGGUAGAAUCUUCUAGAAAGCAAUAUAGGAGAUUGCAAUACUGAAAAUGCAUCACUGUAGAAAAAAACAAUAAAAGAAAAUUUUAUCAUAUUAUACAAGCUGGGGUAAUGAUGAAAAGUAUGAUAGUAAACAGGAGAUGAAAAGGGGAAGUUAUUUUCUUAGGUAAGAUUUCUGGUUAUGUUAAGGGAUUGAAUAUGACCAAGGUGGCCUUAAUCAUCUCCUCAGGCUGAAUAAACUGGUCAAUCCUUUUCCUGCUUCUUUGAGAUGUGAAUCUUGCUAGAAACCUCUUGCCAGUUUUACAGCCCAGGGGUGUUUUUCCAAAGGAUCUUUGUCAAGGGAAGUACAGCCCCCACCUCCCAGUCUCUGUGGAGUGGUAGGCACUAAACUCUAGCAGACAUUAGGUUCCCUCUCUAUUCUCUUAGCAUUUACACACAAUAAAAGUCACCUUCACCUUUGUUAGAGGAAAGCAGUGAGGGCAAGUAUGGAAAUGAUAGGACCCCUAAAACUGGGUAGGUUUGGAAUAGUAGAGUAAAGAUUUAAAAAAUAAUUUUUAUAUUCAAAGCACAGAUACACAAGGGUUCUCUUUUUUAGAAUAUGUCUAUAUAUACUUUAUGCAUAAAAAGUAAGAUUGUCUUCCUGCUAAAUCUUACACACUAUUGGUGGGAAUCUAAAUUGGUUCAACUGCUAUGGAAAACAGUGUUGGAGGUCCUCAAACAAUCAAAAAUGGAACUACCAUGUGAUACACUAAUCCCAAUUUUUGAUGUGUAUCCAAAGGGCAUGAAAUAAGAUAUCAAAGAGGUAUUCCUGUCCCAAUAUUCAUGGCUGAAUUAAUCCCAAUGGCCAGGACAUGGAGAGAGGCCACGUGGCCCUCAAUGGAUGAAUGGAUAAGGAUGUGGUAUCCAUUAUUAUUCAGCCAGAAGGCAGAAGGAAAUCCUGCCAUUUGUGAAAGUACAGACUGACCUUGAGAGCAUUAUGCUAAGAGAGCUAAAUCAAUAAAGGAACACUAAUACUGUAAAAUGCCUCUUACACCUGAAAUGCAGAAGAUCGAAACUCAUAGUGACUGAGGGCAGCAGUGGGGGAAGGGGAUGGGAGUUGUUAGUGAAGAGCUUGGACUUGCAGUUAUGAGAUGAGUGAACAGGUUCUCGGGCAUCUGAUGUAAAGCCUGCCAACAAAUAUUAAUAACUCCAAAGCUAUUGUUGGUAAUCAAGUCACAAUAUGUAAGUGUAUCAAAUCAAUACAUUGUACAGCUUCUUUCUUCCUUUUUUUGGCUGCACCCAUGGCAUAUGGAAGUUCUCAGGCCAGGGAUUGAAUCCAAGCUGCAGCUGCAACCUACACCACAGCUGUGGCAACACUGGAUCCUUACCCCACUGCACCAUAGUGGGAACUCCAAUACAUUGCACAUUCUAAACUUGCACAGGACUAUGUUUUAAUUAUAUCUUAACUAAGCUGGAAAAAAAGUUUUGAAAAGCACAGAUAAACAAACAUAUAGUACCCGAACAGUAAAGUUGUAUACAUGUGGUAUUAAAAUUUUAUGGGGGGAGGCAGUGGUUAGGGAAAAAUGUCUGAAAAGGUUUAUUAAGGGAGUGAAAAUGGAUAUUUUUUUUUAAAUGAGAAAUAUUAAGUUGGGUCCUCCUGGAAGAUCCAGCAAAUGUAAAAUGGCAGACAUUUAUGUAGAUGCAUCUGGUCUGCUAGAAACUAUCUCUAACCUAUUAUUCUCCAGAAAGACUACUGUGAAGAGUCUGAUGCUCUGAGCCACUAUGAGCCCAUUGCUGAGCAGUUAAAAUUAAAUCAUGUCCUCUCUGUAAAAGAGGAAAGAAAUGUUGAAAACUGUAAUUCUUUUCAAAGUUUACUAGUGAGAUGUUAAGUGUGAAUUAGAGAUGUUGGUGUUAAAUUCUAGAAUCUCAUCAUUUCUUACAGUUUCGGAAAGAAUCCUAUAUGUGUAAGUAUUUAAAAAUUGUUUUUGUAACAAUGAUGAGCCGCGGUGCCAAUGGAUUAGCAUAGGGAGAAAUAUUCCAUUUUGUAAAAUCAAAUUGUGACACAAUUCCCUCUCAUUUUAAAACUUAAUUUAAAAGCCCAUAAAUAUUUUGAAAAUAUGUUUCAAUUGAAAACAUAUUUGAUGGCUUUCUUUCAAAUGAAAAAACUGCAGUACUCAGUAAAGACACUUGGUUACAACACCAUGUAACAAAAGUGAUUUUUCCUUUAAAAUUCUUACCAGCUGUUAUGUAACUUAGUUUUUUUUUUUCCAUUUUAGAGUACCUUACUUUAUUAUUAUGAUUUUUAAUUUUUACUCAAUGAAUUUUAUUACAUUUAUAGUUGUACAGUGAUCAUCACAACCAAAUUUUAUAGCAUUUCCAAAACUUGGUUUUGUUUUUAUGUUGCUCUUUUUUCUGUGGGAGGGUGGAGAGGAUAGCAUGAUAGUGAUCAGAGAAAAGGUUUAUUGAGCACCUGCUCUAUACUACUCUCUAUAUAGUUCUAGAGUCUACUUGCCAUAGUAAAUUCAAAAUCUUGUUCUAUUUUACAAGUUAAAAAACAAACCAGGGAGUUCCUGUUGUGGAUCAGUGGGUUAAGAACACAGCAUUGUCUCCGUGAGGAUUCAGGUUCAAUCCCUGGCCUUUCUCAGUGGGUUUGUGAUCUGGCAUUGCUGCAAACUGUGGUGUAGGUCACAGAUGUGGCUUCAAUUCAACUCCUAGCCUGGGAAAUUCCAU
Molecule: long non-coding RNA, 6560 nt
Filed under: Sus scrofa (pig)
Lineage: Eukaryota; Metazoa; Chordata; Mammalia; Artiodactyla; Suidae
Description: lncRNA (ENSSSCG00000059692.1)
Source: RNAcentral